GUUCUGCAUGGAGCACUGGGUGUUAUGCACAAACAAUGAAUCAUGGAACACUUCAUCUAAAACUAAUGUUGUAAUGUAUGGGGAUUAACAUAAGAAUAAAAAAAAAAAAGAAGCAGGGAAGGAAGGGAGACAGGGAUGGUAGGGGAAAGAAGGAAAGAAAAUCAGUUGCUCAGGCAAUAGUUUUGGGGCCAGAGGAGGGGUAGAGAUGAAGCUUUUUAGGUUGCCUCCCAUUUCCCUCAGUGAAGUGAGGGCUGGCAAUUUUAGAAGCAGCAGUACCAUGGGGUAAAUUCCUGCAUCUUCCAAGUGGAGGCUGGACAAUGGGCUGGUGUGUGGGCAACAGCAGGCCAGGAUGUAGAUGCUAAGAGCACAAGGCUCUGGAGCCUGGCAUGUAAGGUUCAGAUCCUGCCUCUGUAGUGCAGGGACUGUGUGAGCCUCGGGAGGUGGCUUCAUUGCCUAAGCCUGGUUUCUCAUCUGUAAUGUGCAGGUCCUAAACACCUGUCUGUUUCGUUUUCUAGUGCCUCCAUAACAAAUGACCACAAACCAGGGGCCUUAACACAAUAGAAAUCUAUUCUCUCACAGCUUAAGAGGUCUGAAGUCCAAAAUCAGCAGGGCCAUGCUGCCCUCAGAGGCCCUAGGGAGGAUCCUUCCUCACCUUUUCUAGUUUCAGGUAGCUCGUAGCAUUCUUUGGCUUGUAGCUCUGUCAUUCCAGUCUGUGCCUCGCCUUCUCAUGGCUUUCCUGUGUGUCUGUGUGUCCUUUCCUGUCUCUUAUAAGGACACUUGUCAUUGUUAGGGCCCACCCUAAUUCAAUAUGAUCUCAUCUUGAUCCUUACUUUAAUUAUAUCUGCAUAGACCCUAUUUCCAAAUAAGGUCACAUUGUGAGGUUCCAGGUGGACAUGAAUUGGGGGGGACACUAGUCAACCCAGUGUGCUACCUCAUAGAGCUCUGAGGUCACAGCCUGCAAAGCACACAGCAAGGUUUAGAGAGCGCUGUGAGGUAGAGGUGGGAAGCCCAGCUAUUAUGAGCCCCACUUGCUAGAUGUGAAAACUGAGGCUUUAGGGAAACUUUGGGUCCCACUGCUAGUAAGUGGCAGAAGAAGCAGAGGAAUUGCUUAUUCUAUGAAGGCCAUUCAACAUCUGUAUUUUGGGCGUCUUUAUGCCAGCUCAUGGUUUGGUGGAAAAAUUAGUUCAUCAUCCUCUUCAUCAUCAUUGCCAUGACAGGCUGGGCAGUCAAUGUAGUGAAACCCUUUGAGAAGAGGGAGGGUACCUGCCCCAGGAGGGCUUGUGAGAGGAAGUACUGUCUUAGCCAAAAUAGAGGGGUACUGAGGAAUCAGCAAGGGAAACUGUGAAAGACAGGAGUUAGGAUAGUUUUCAAUGGCAUGCGCAAAGGCCUGGAGGCCACCCUGGGCUUCUGUGUGGGCCUGGGCUGGUCAACGACACAGAGUCAGUAGACCUUCAGCUAUGUAUUUAUGAAAUGAGGGGCACCUGGGUGGCUCAGUCAGUUAAGCAUCCGACUCUUGAUUUUAGCUCAGGUCAUGAUCUCAGGGUUGUGGGAUGGAGCCCCAUGUGGGGCUCUGCACUUAAAGCAGAGUCUGCUUGAGAUUAUCUCCCUCUCCCUCUGUCCCUUCCCCUGCUCACACUCGCUCGCUCUCUCUCAAAUAAAUAAAUAUUUAAAGAUUUUAUUUAUUUAUUUGACAGAGAGAGAGGGAGAGCAGGAACACAAGCAGGGGGAGUGGGAGAGGGAGAAGCAGGCCUCCUACAGAGCAGGGAGCCUGAUGCAGGCCUCGAUCCCAGGACCCUGGGAUCAUGACCUAAGCGGAAGGCAGACACUCAACAACUGAGCCACCCAGGUGCCCCAAUAAAUAAAAUCUUUUAAAAAAGUAUUUAUGAAAUGAAUUACAGAUGGGGAAACAAAGGCACCAAGGUACUUCAAGUCCCAUAGCAAAUACUGGCAGAGCUAAGACAUGAACUCAACUCCCCUAUCUCCCUAUCUAGGUCUCUUCCUGUCUGCCCCAGGUACUGGGUGCUGCAGAAACAGCUUCCUUCCUCCAUGCUAAGCUGCAUCCUGGCCUUGGUCAGACAACAGAGGAGUCAGGUGGAGCUGGGAUAGAAGCACAGACCUUUGGGUUCCACAGCCGAGACUGCACCGAUUAAGGUACCAACUCUGAAUGUGACCAAAUGCUCCGGUCCAAAGAGGAGGCCAACUCUCUUAGGAAUCUUCCUGCUAAGAGCAAAAAGACCACAGGCAACAGGAUCUAGAAUCAUCCAAUGUGACUGGACUGGAGCAGUGGUGUCAGAACCAUGCAGUGGAGUCAGGCUCCUUCCCCAAGGGGCUUUGGAAGCUUGGGUAGCUAUGUGGGGGACAAGCGGUUCCCUCACAGAAAGUGUGGACAAAGAUACCACGUUCAGACCAGAAGUCCGAACUCAAGAUGUCAGCAGGGCCUCUUGGGGAGAGUGCUUCUUGGCCUAGUUUGCCAGCAAGCCUUGGCAUUCCGUGAUCCCACAGGAAGCCCCUUCUGCAAAAAGGGUGAAAAUAAAUCUCACCUCGUGAAGUCGUUCUCCGGAUUCCAUGGGACUGUACCUUGCACAGUGCCUGGCACGCGAGGUGCUCUCUUGCCGUGCCUCCCUCUGCCUGCCUCCCCAGGCUGCCACUCCCUGCCGCAGGAGGACCGCGGAGCCACCGUGAGGCCUGAGGGAAUGGACAGUCUGGCUUCUUGGGCGGUGGAGCUCCCAGCCUUUUCCAGGCCCCGGGCCCUGUAUGAUGUCAGCCACGGAACGUCACCAACACGUGGAUCUUUCCAAUCAGCCCUUCUCCCGUUAAAUAGGCAUUUUUAUAUUUUCAUUGGACAUACAUUAGUUACGGAGAAUUUUUACAGCCCAUGUUUUAGAGCGUGGCGGUCUGGGCUGUAAAGAUAUAAUCGGCUCUGAUAGGAGACGGUUUCUCUGGCGCUAAAGGGGGGCUGGCGUGGCGGCGGCGUGAUUGGAGCUCUAAGUGUCUGAAAUGACUGUUGCUAAGUCCCCAGAGCCACAAGUCAAUCAACCGCGCCAAACGGGAAACUCAACAGUGAGUGUUAAAAAGAGGGGGGAUGAUGAAAAUGAAAAAAGAAAAACAUUCAAGAGGGAAUUGAAUUUUGGAGUCACUUGAUGGAAGUUUUAAAAAUGAACAGUAACAGCCCCCCAAAAGUGCAUCUUCUCUACCCGGCUGAAGAAGAGAGGUUUGCUUUCUGGGAUUCUGGAAGACUCUUUCAAAGUUACUUCUUUCUUCUUUUCUUUCCCUCUGUCCCUCCCUUUUUCCCCAUGAAUGUUUCCUGAGCACCUACUAUGUCAGGUACUGCGUGAGUCACUGGGGAUAUAACAGUGAAUAAGGCAGAUGGUGUCCCUGCUCUUCUGGAGUUUAUACAUUUCGCACACAUACCAGAGGACGCAUGGAACAAUUUCCUGUUGCCCCAGCAACGAUGACCAAGGCCAAAGCUAUAGGCAAAAGCAUCAAAUACCCCACAUUCUUUUUUUUUUAAAUCCCACAGAGGUUGUCCCAUGAUGGGGCCCCCGAGGACUGCAGACCUGUACCCACCCAGGGGUGCAAGGCAUGGCUGGGGAACAUCUUUCCAGGGUUCUACUCCCAACGUGGGGCUUGAACUCACAACCCAUGCUCCACUGACUGAAGCAGCCAGGUACCCCAGGUAUCCCACAUUCUAAAGAGCUCAGUUAGAAUUCGGGCCAGAAACACCCUCAGGGCUUAUAAAAGACAGUCCAGCAAUUUCUGUUAUUCCAACUGUAACCCCCAGCCCCACCGCCAGCCCCUAUCCCCUUGUCCUGUCUCCAGAAGCAGAAAACCAUGAGAGACAGAGGAGAGAGGUACUGGACUGCCAGUUGUCAGCCCCGGAGGUGGGGGUGGGGGGUGAUUGUCUCCUCCCUAUGGGGGAGGAUGGGGGACCUCCAAAGGGAGCAUUUGCAGAGAUGGGGACCACCCGAAGGGCAGAUGAGCAUCUCUGCCACCUGGGGGGCUCUGCUUAUGCAGUCACCUGGCCUCUCCGCCCUGGACCAGAUGUGGGUGGCCAGGGAGGGGCUGCACAGAGGAGGAGGCUGGCCAGAGCUGUCUGCGAGGACAAGGACUCAGAGGCAGCAGGAGGUCUGAGGUGGGCUGCCGGGGUGGGAGCUGAGGGAUGGAAGGGGCAGAGCCACAGAGGUUGUCCUAUGAUGGGGCCCCUGAGGACUGCAGACCUGUACCCACCCAGGGGAGCAAGGCAUGGCUGGGGAGCAUCUUUACACACUUUCCUCUUCCUGGCCCACUUCCCCUGGAGGCUGUCUCUGCCUGCCCCCUUUCCCUGCCCCCCACACCAACCAGGCUGGGUCAGGGCCUUCCUCUGGGCUCUCCUGGCCCCCAGGGUUCCUACCACCGCAGCACCAGCCCCUCUGGCCUGUCCCUGUCUAGGGUGCGUCUGUCUCUGGCGCCAGCAAGGCUUUUGUCGUCUUUGCCACAGCAUCCGGCACAAAGUGGGAAACAGCAGGCGCUCACUGUGUGCUUGUGGGAGGCACCUUUUUGGAGGAGCAUUGAGUUGAGGGCAGCUGCUGGCUCAGGGACCCCAGGGCUGGAGGGACCUGUCCUCUCCCUGCCUCUUUAUUAUCCUUUCUGUCCUUUUCCUGCCCAACUCCAGCCUGGCUUUCACUUUACCACCAAAUAAAUAAAUCUUCGUCUUCAUGGAGAGAUUUCCUCUGGGCAGUGCUCUAAGAACUGGAAAUGCUCCCAGCCUACGAGCCACCGGGAGGAGACUUCUUGAGGCUAGGCUGGGCCCCUGUUGGAAGGGGCACCCCCGGCCUUUGCGAAUGCUGUGCUCUCUGUCCUGCUGACUCUUCCUUCCCUGCUGCUGAGUACCUUCUCCCCUUCUAGGCCUGUCUCUCCAGGAAGACUUCUUCAGCCUCUCUGGCUAUGGUAGGGUUUCUUCUGGAACGCAAGCCGGUAAGUGUCCUUCAUCCCCGUGUCAUCAAAACAGGAUUUAAUCAUCUGUAUCUGUGUCUUUUUCACCAGAUCGGGUGCUGAGGGCAGGAUCGCAGUCUGACUCAGUGCCGUGUUCCCAGCACACAUGUUUUUGAACAGAGUUGCUGAUUGGUCGGACCAGGCUCGAAGGUGUUACAGAGGGGAUAUACAAAGGAUCUGGAGAUGUAGUGGGUGUGGGUGUUGGGGAUGCGGACACAAGGUAGAGAAAGGGAGAGAGGGAAGGGCAUGCCAGGGAGAGGGCACAGCAUGGGCAAAGGCACGGUGGCAGGCACUAGCUGGGAGAUGCAUGGCUCUUGUGUAGCUCUAAGCUCCCAAGUAGGGAGUGAUGAGUGAUGAGAUUGGAAAGGUCCUGGAGGGUGUUGAUGCCAGGUGAGGAGUGUGGAUGUUGUCCUGAAACCCGUGGAGCCCCUGAAGGCUUGGAGCAGUGGGAGGGACCAGAUUGCACAUUGUGUUUGGAAAGCUCACUUCAGUUGUGCAAAGACCAGAGGGGAGGUGAGUGAUGGUGGGCCCUCUACUGGGGUAGGGGCAGCAGAUGUGGAGAACAGGGGACAGACCUGAAGGAGGUUCCAGAGGUAGGAUCAGGGGUGUUGGAUGUUGGAAUCGGAGGAGAGGCCAGCACGGCACCCAGACUGGGAUUUGGGGGCAGGGGGUGGGGAGCAGCUGUGGCCAAUGUUGAGUUCCCUGAGUGGGGGAUGGGACGUGAGAGGAGAUAUUCAAGAGGCCACAGAUUUGGAUUCAGAAAUAUUUCAAAUAAAAAACAAGGUCGGGGGGCGCCUGGGUGGCUCAGUCGUUAAGCGUCUGCCUUCGGCUCAGGUCAUGAUCCCAGGGUCCUGGGAUCGAGCCCCACGUCGGGCUCUCUGCUCAGCGGGAAGCCUGCUUCUCCCUCUCCCACUCGCCCUGCUUGUGUUCCCUCUCUCGCUGUGUCUCUCUCUCUGUCAAAUAAAUAAAUAAAAUCUUUAAAAAAAAAAAAAAGGAUGGACAUUAUAUAGCAGUCAAUUAUGGGCUCUUUUUCCCACUUAAAUUACAUUAAAAACAACAACAACAACCAACCACCUCCCCGUACUCCCCCUGCCACCUUCAUCCCACUCCCCAGACAGUGACUGGUGCUUGCUCCAAACGGGAUGUUCAGUUUGCUGUAGAAUGAGUGAUAUAAACCCGGUCCUCCCCACCUCCGUGGAGGGUUAGCUCACUGCUGCGCUUUAGAAUGAACUCUUGUGAAAACAGGAAGAGCUUGGGCCCAUGUCCCUGGGAGUGCACCUGGGAGGCCCCUCGAGCCAGGGAAGAUGGGACAAGUUGGGAGGGGUGCGCCAUUUUACAGAGGUAGAGACUAGGGAUGUGAGAGGUCACUUGGCUAAGGCCAUGAAGCUACUAAGUACCUGAUUUCCCCCAUCUGCCCCUUCAGGCCCUGCAUAACCCACUUGGUCUUCUGUGAGCCUACAGCUCCCGCUCAGAGCAGGUGGCCAACCCUGUGUCUUUGCUGCAAGUGAGGGAGUGAGCUUUCAAUGAAGAAUAGUGUCCUUCAUCUUGUUCCCUACAUUUUACGCCACCAUGUAAAAUUUUCCAUUAAUUCCUCAGAAUAAAAUGUAGUGGCUGUUAAUUUUUGACACCUGGGAAGUAGCCUGCUGAAUGCUUUUUUUAUGCCUGAAACUAUUUUCCACCAUUAGAAUAGUGUGAUAAAAAGUUUCCUUUCUUUCUUUGAUUUUAUUUUUUAAUUAGACCAAAGGGUUUUUGUGGCUCAGUCAGAGCUAUUGCCAGCAGCUGGGAGCCCAGAAAGUAGCAAAGAAAGGACACAAACAUUGUCACUGCUCACAUGCCAUCUCCAUGGCCAGGCCUUGCCUCUCUGAAGACCAGGAGGGUCAAGGUCCUGCUCGAAUCAGAGUAAAACCCAAAGCUUCAUUGCUUUUCCAGAAAGGCCAUUUGUGAGAGGUAACAUGGGGCUGUGAGAAGCUUCUCUUCUUUGCUUAUUAAUUUUUCUUCUUUAGAGCUUCCUUUUGGAUUGAUCAAGUUUUCUUUUCUUUUUUUUAGUAAUCUCUACACCCAAAGUGGGGUUGAACUUACCACCCUGAGAUCAAGAGUAGCAUGUUCUUCCAACAGCUAGCUUCCUGAGCCAUCCAGGUGCUAUUGGACUGAUCAGGUUUUCUUUAGCUAAUUUCAUCUAUUUGUUUGGAAGGUAUAAAUAUUAUUUUUAUUUUGUUUCAGGUAUUUUUUGCAGCAUGACAAACCAUUCCACCUGAAUGGCUUAAAACAAAAAUUUUUUUAUCAAUUCUACUUCAUGUGACUGGGGCAUUGAGAGAGCAAAAGGGUCUAAAAAAAGCCUUCUUAAUACAACUGGCAAUUCGUGCUGGCCGCUAGCUGGGAGCUUAGUUGGAGCUGUUGGUUGGGGACCUUGGUUCUCCUCUUCAGCCUUUCCACAUGGCUGCUUGAACCUCUGCAUAGUGUGGCGACUGGAUUUCAAGAAGGAGCGUUCCAAUAGCUGGAGUCAUAAGCUGUAGGCAUCUUAAAGCCCAGCCUUCAAUAUUACACAGCAUCAUUUCAUUUUUUCAGAUAAAAAAAAAAAACAGAUCCAAGGGGUAUGAUGGGACGAGUGACAAAGGAUUUGUGGCCAUCUUUAAUUUUGAUCAAUCUAAACAUCAUAGAAGCUGCACUUGAAUUUCCUACUUGUAUUUAACUACAUGGAUGCUAACAAAAUCUAAAGUUGUUAAAAAGAAAAUCUCAAAAUGCAUUGCCUUCCUUCUCAAUGCCUUUUUGCCAACUCUUUUGUUAUUGUUGUUUAGGAUUUUAGUUCCAUGUUAUUUAUAAAACCUGACUUUUUCAGUAUUUUUUUUAAGUAAUCUCUACACCCAACGUGCGGCUUGAACUCAAGACACCAAGAUCAAAAGUCGGAUGCUCUUCUGCCUGAGUCAGCUAGGUUCCUCCUUUUUUUUUUUUUUUUUUUAAAGAUUUUAUUUAUUUAUUUGAGAGAGAGAGAAUGAGAGAGAGAGCACAUGAGAGGGGGGAGGGUCAGAGGGAGGAGCAGACUCCCUGCAGAGCAGGGAGCCCGAUGCAGGACUCGAUCCCGGGACUCCAGGAUCAUGACCUGAGCCGAAGGCAGUCGCCCAACCAACUGAGCCACCCAGGCGCCCUGAGGUUCCUCCUUAGUAUUAGUUUUUUACCUUUUUUACCAAAAGCUUUGAUGACCACUGCACCUUGCAUUCCAUUUCUCCCUUGUGAGUUCAUUUUUUUUCUUGUUGAUUUGCACUCUUUAAUAGUUCUUUCAGUGACAGCCUGUGAGUAGUAAACUCUAUGAAUCUUUUUUUUAAGUUUAUUUUUUUAGUAAUCUCUACAUGCAACGUGGGGCUCAAACCCUUGACCCCGAUGUGAGAGGUCACUUGAGAGAUCAAGAUUCACACAUUCUUCUGACUGACCCAGCCAGGCACCCCUGAGCCCUAGUAAUCUUGGUGUCUGGAAGGAUCUUUACUUUGGUCUCACUCUGUAAUGACAGUUUAGUUAAGUAAAGAAUUCUAGGCUGACAAGUAUUGUUUCACUGUGUUUAGAGAUAUUAUUCCACUUUUUUUCUGGCUCCUAUUGUUGCCAAUUGGAAGUCUGCUUAUUUGUCUAAUUGUUUUUUUGAACGGAAUUUCCGCCCCCCCGCCCCCGCAACUUUAAAGACUUUGUUUUUAUUCUUAUUGUUGUUCACUGCAAAAGUGUGGAUUUGUUUGUAUUUAUCCCACUUUGAACUCUAUGAGGACUCAGAUCUUUCUUCAGUUCUGGAAAAUUCUUAGACUUUCAUAUAUUGCCUUUCUCAUGCUUUCCUUUUAUUUUUUUUAAGAUUUUAUUUAUUUAUUUGACAGAGAGAUAGAGAGCACAAGUAGGCAGAGCAGCAGGUAGAGGGAGAGAGAAAAGCAGGCUCUCCACUGAGCAGGGAGCCUGAAGUGGGGCUCUAUCCCAGGACCCUGGGAUCAUGACCUGAGCCGAAGGCAGAUGCUUAACCGUCUAAGCCACCCAGGUGCCCCUCCCAUGCUUUCUUUAUUGUCUUUUAUUGGAAUUCCUAUUAGAUGUAUGAUGGAUCAUCUCAUUUCAUCCUCCAUCUUAACUUUUGUUUUAUAUUUCACAUCUUUGUCUCUCUGCGUGUUAUAUUCCAGGUGAUAGCCUUGGAAUAUCUAGAUCUUCUAGGCAACAGCUAUGUCAAACCCAUCUAUUGAGUUUAUUUUAAUUUCAGUUUAUCUUGGAUGACUUUUUUCCUUCCAUGGCCCAGGGUAGGAGACUCACUUCUACACUGCCAUCCAGAGUUAUUGGGCAGUUUUUAUCCAGUUUUCAUUCAAAGAAGAAAUAGCUCAUUUCCAACUUCUUCUUUAUGGAGGCAGCCUAGCUCUAGCUCCAGUCUCUCACAGGGUCUCGAACCUCAUCUUCUGUGCUCCUAGAGGCAUUAAAACCCCAACUCUUUCCAACCAGAAGUUCAGAUAUGGCAGCCCCAAGCUGGUGUGAUGGCUCCAUGAAGCUGCCAGAGGCUAAGACACCUUUGAUUUUCCCACUCCAUCACCCUCAGGGUAUGGCGUUCACCCUCCUUGUUGUACUUGCAGGCAUCUCAUCUUUGAAAUACCCCCAUAGCUUCUGUCGUUUGUCCAGAACCUGGUCACAUGGCGACCACAAGCUGCAAAGAAAAGCUGAAGAGUGGGUUUUUUGGUGGUACCUUUCCUUCCCACCAUGCAACAGUUGUGGUUCUCUUAGUAAGGUAGUAGAGCAAGUAGGUCUGGAGCUAGUAACUUGUAACAUCUGCCACACAGAAUGUUAUCCUCGUUUAGGGGAAGAAGUGAUAGCUCAGAGAGGGGUGGUGAUUUACAGACUCCACUACACUGAGCCCAUGUUCUUCCUGCUCAGCCCCACCACCAUCUCCCUGCUCUGACUCAGGGACUCUGGCCCGGAUCUCAGCUGCUGGACUUUCCCUCAGUCUCAGUCUCAGUGCACUGACCUUGCAUGAUGGAUGACCCGGCGGCCUCCUAAAGCACCGAGUUUUGUUGGUUCCCAAACCUUACAGGAGCAGCAGGGCCCGGGGAGCUGGGUGCAGGGAAGCUGAACAGAACCCCAUCUGUCCUCCCCCAGCUCUUGUUCAGGCAGGCAUUUGUCAGCCACUGCAAGAGGGCAGCCUCAAUCACUUCUUUCAGCAGUUAGGGGGCUGCACACAGGCAGAAUAAUGACUGGCCCCUGAAGAGGGAGUGGGGGCUUAUCAGGGGCCAGCAUGGCUAGGUGAAGCUCAGGGUCUGACAUCCACAUCUCUUCUGAAGGGAAAGGAGCUGGCUGACAACUCCCUGCCCCACAGUGGAGGCCUCCUUAGCUCUGCCUUCUGGUUUUCCUCUCCUCAACAUACCCCUCUCUCACUGUCCCUCCACCCCACCAACUCUCCCCAACCGACCGAGAUCUCGGCCCUGGAUCAGUGGCCAUGUGCUCUGCUUGGACGACCACACCUGCCUCCUUGGUGCUGCUCUCCUAGCUCUAGCCUUGCCCCCUCUAAACCACGCUCCACACUGGCUGCUUACAAGUCUGGUCAUGUCACACAUGUCUCUAUCCUCUGCUUUUAUAUCCUUCUAUGGCUCCCUACUAUCUGCAAAAUAAAUAGCAGACUCAGCCUUGCCAACCUUAGCUCCCAUUCCUCAUCCUCUGUCUCUUGCUGUGUUUGCUAUUUAAUUUUUUAGAAUGGAUUAUUGUGAUAUUAUGACUUAUAAUAAGAAAUAUAUAUUUGAUCCUCAUCCCAUUGCUGGCACAGAGCUCCUAAAACUCUUGGAAUUUCUGAAAUUAUAAGAGGGAUAAAGGUGUCUUCUAUUAUUCAAACCCCUUUCAGCAACACCUGAGUUUAUUGUAUUAAUGAGGUCACUCUUUGGAAAGUUCUGCAGGAUGGGGCUGCCCACCAGAAAGACCAAGUGAUUAGAGGGUUAGAACGUUCAGUUCCACACAUCGACCUCUGGGAAGGGGUUGGGGCUGGAAGCUAGGCUCUAUGAAAAUUCUUUUUUUUUUUUUUAAGAUUUUAUUUAUUUAUUUGACAGAGAGAGACACAGCAAGAGAGGGAACACAAGCAGGGGGAGUGGGAGAGGGAGAAGCAGGCUUCCCUCCAAGCAGGGAGCCCAAUGUGGGGCUCCAUCCCAGGACCCUGAGAUCAUGAUCUGAGCCAAAGGCAGACACUUAACGACUGAGCCACCCAGGUGCCCCCUCUAUGAAAAUUCUUGAACAACUCGAUUUGAUGAGCUUCCAAGUUGGUGAACGUAUCCAUCAGAAAGGGGACACAUCCCACUUCCAUGGGGACAGAAGUUCCUGCACUCAGGACCCUUCUGGACCUCACUCUUUGUAUUUCCUCAUCAGGCUCUUCAUCUCUAUCCUUCAUAAUAUCCUUCACAAUAAGCUGGUAAAUGUGAGCAAAUGUUUCUCUGAGCCGCUCUAGCAAAUCCACUGGACCCAGGGAAGGAGUUGUGGAAACUUCCUAUUAUAGCUGAAGAGGGAGCAGUCUUGUGGGACUGAGCCCUCAACCUGUGGGAUCUGAUGCUAUCUCCAGGCAGGUGGUGUCAGAGUUGAGCUAAAUUGUCAGACACCCAUUCAGUGUCCACUGAGAUUGGAGAAUUCCUAGGUGGUACUGGGCAAAACCCUCCAGAGUCACAUGAUCACUGGUUUCAAAAAUCAAACUAGUCACACAGUGGAAAAAAAAAACACUAGUCACACAGUCUCACCUCCACGUUUCUCUCAACUGUUCACUUCUCAUCACCCACCACAUUUCUUAGUUCCUUGUGUCUCCUUACAGAGUUUCUUUAUGUAAGUGUAAGCAUUUUCUAGGUACAUCUUCUAGGGCCGGAAACCUCCCACAACCUUGCUACUCAGACGCUGGGGUGCAGGUUGCUCCACGUGUCUCCUCUCUCUGCCUGGUCAUCCCUCCCCAGUUCUUCUCCCACUGAGAGUCACCAGGAAUGGGUGAGCCUAAGCAGACAUCUAAUAAGAAUAAGGUGCUGGUCUGUCCUUCUAAGUGGCACCCCCAACUUCUGAGAUUUCUCUUGGAGUCCCCUUCAUUUGGCUUGAACUGGUGGACUGGGAGUCCCCCUCCUUUUCCAGGGGAGGGAAAGCCAUAAUACCAUCUGCCCCCUCCUCCUUAGAUAAAACACCCAACUCCAAAGACCACUCCCCCCUCACCUGUGUAUUCAGAGAAGGACACUUGGGGAGCAAAAGAGCCAGUCUGGCUGCCCCUUAGUAGAUCCAAAGGUGUCCCCUUCUCUAGCUUGGUGGGAUCUUGAAAAAGGAGUUUGGUACCUAUUCAUCUUCUGUCCUGGGUCCCAUUGCUGAUUCUGAAGCAACAGGGAAAAUUCACACUUUACAACCCAAGACAUCUGUCCCUCUGUCCAUCCGAUAUAACUUGAAGACCCAAGACCAGAUGAAGGGCUAAGAGUGUGGGACAAACUACUGAGAAAUCCACAUUCCUUGAUGUGUCCUCUGUGCUGCUGGGGGUCACUACAGACCCCCAGGAUCCUCCCCCUGUGAGCUCCAUGAGUGUCUUGUAUCCACAGGACUGGCCUGGGAUCUGGCACAUGGUAGAUGCGGAAUAAAUACCUGCUGGGAGGGUGACUGCAGUGGCUUUCAUGGCUGUCUGGGAGCUUACCUUAUGCCUCUUCAAUUUGUCAGAGUCUGCCUUCUGUUAAUGUUAUACUUCUUUACAUGUAUAAGGGCCCAAGAGCACUGUGCUCUGAACUCUUCCCUGCCAUCCUUUGUGGUAUACUGUCAUGCAUUUUAUUUUAUUUUAAAGAUUUUAUUUAUUUAUUUAUUUGACAGAGAGAUAGUGAGAGCAGGAACACAAGCAGGGGCAGUGGGAGAGGGAGAAGCAGGCUUCCCGCGGAGCAGGGAGCCCGAUGCAGGGCUCGAUCCCAGGACCCUGGGAUCAUGACCUGAGCCGAAGGCAGAUGCUUAACGACUGAGCCAUCCAGGCUCCCCCAUGCAUUUUAUUUUUACAAGUACUGCAAACACACAAUGUAUUUCUACUGUUUUGCUUUAGACAGUCAAAAAUAUCUUGUAGAGUAAUUAAAAAUAUGAGACAAUUUUUUUAUUGUCUUAUUUUUAUUUUUAAUGGAAGUACAGUUGACAUAUUAGUUCCAGCUGUACAAUACAGUGAUUCAACAAAUUACGUCCAUUACAAGAUGUUCAUCAUGGUAAGUGUAGUUACCAUCUGUCACCAUUCAAACUUACUACAAUCUUAUUGACUAUAUUCCCCAUGCUGUACUUAAAACAAUCAAUUUUACAUUUGCCUUCAUUUAUGCCAUUUCUAGCAUUUCUUGUUUCUUUGCAUCAGUGUAAGUUUCUUUGUGGUAUCAUAUUUCUUCUUCCUGAAGAACUUCCUUUAAUACAUCUUAUAGUGCAGGUCUACUGGUAAUUAAUUCUCUGAUGUUGUUUAACUGAAGAGGUCUUAUAUUUAUUGCUUACUUUUGAAAGACAUUUCCUCUGGGCAUACAACUUUGGAUUGACAGGGUUUUUUUGUGGGGUUUUUUUUGUUUGUUUGUUUGUUUGUUGCUGUUGGCACUUUAAAUAUGUCACUCCAUUCCAAACUUUAAAGUUGGAAGCUUCUUUCACCACUUUAUUUUUUUAAAAAGAUUUUAUUUAUUUAUUUAUUUUAUUUAUUUAUUUUUAAAGAUUUUAUUUAUUUAUUUGAGAGAGAGAGAAUGAGAGAGAGCACAUGAGAGGGGGGAGGGUCAGAGGGAGAAGCAGGCUCCCUGCAGAGCAGGGAGCCCGAUGCGGGACUCGAUCCCAGGACUCCAGGAUCAUGACCUGAGCCGAAGGCAGUCGCUUAACCAACUGAGCCACCCAGGCGCCCAAAGAUUUUAUUUAUUUAUGAGAGAGAGAGAGAGCACGAGAGAGCAGGUGGAGGAGUAGAGGGAGAGGACAAGGAGAUUGUACAAUGAGUGCGAAGCCGGACGCGUGCUUGAUCCCAGGACACUGAGGUCAUGACCCGAGCUGAAACCAAGAGUCAGACACUUAACUGACUGAGCCACCCAGGUGCCUCCUCUUUCAGCACUUUAAAGAUAUCUUCUGCUUUGCAUAAUUGGUUUUUUUAAGAUUUUAUUUAGAGAGAGAGAGUGGGUGAGCAUGUGAGCAGGGGAGGAGCAGAGGGAGAGGGGAGAGAAUCUCAAGCAGGCUCUGUGCUGAGCAUGGGGCCUGACGUGGGUCCCACGUGGGGCUCCGCACGGGGCUCGAUCUCAUGACACUGAGAUCAUGACCCAAACGAAAAUCAAGAGUCAGACACAGCACCCCUGCUUUGCAUAGUUUCUGAUGAGAAGUCCACUAUAAUUCGUCUCUUGAUACUAUGUUAUUUCUCUUGCUUCUUGUGUGUCUUCUAAUUUUUUGUUGAAAGCUGGAUGUCUUGUGUAGGGCAGUAGAGAUUGAAGUAAAUAGUACUUAUGCCUGAAAAUGGUCAUGCCUUUUCCUUUGCCAGGCUUUAGCAUGGGGUUGGAUUGAUAUGGACAGGAGUUGAGCUGGGUUUGGGUUUUGUUGUUCCAAGGAUUCCUGUCAGUGCAUCACACUCUUCAAAUUCCUCUAGCACUGCUUUGUGUUCAGGGUGGGAGCUGGGUCGCUGGAGGGUAUUUUCCCCAGUGGUCCUGUUUCACCCCAAGCUGUAGAUUUUGCCUAUGAUCCUGCACCAUAAAGAGGUUCCUCCUGUGUUCUCCUGCCCUCCUCCAGCAGUAGACAGCUGUUACCUAUUCCUGGGUAUUUGCUAGUCUGGGGGUAGAAGGUGUCGGAGUUGCUCUCUGUUGUGAAGGUUCUGUUAAAGUCUUAGGCAGGUGCUCUGAGACCGGGGGACUUAGGGAUCCAGCCCUCUCUCACUGAUAAAGGGAUUUUUCUAUGCUUUUCCCCCAGCUGCAAUGGGCACUGAGGGCCAGGAGUCUUGCUGUCCCUUCCCCAGAGUCUAUGGCCUUCCUUCCAGCAGUGGCCGCUGUUUCCUCCGCUAGGCCUGCACCCCAAGGUGGGCUUUCUCUCUCACCCCCAGUCUCCCUCCCCCAGACCCAGUGCAGUCUACAGAGAAGAGCCUGUUGGGGGUACAAAUUUCCCCUUAGUUGGCUGCUUUCAGGGGAUCCACACCCCCAUACCAGCCCACACUCAGCCUUGGCAGCUUUUUAAAAAUUUAUUUCAAUUCUUACCGGUUUAUUGGUAUCAGCCCUGAGUAAGCAAAGGCUCUUGUCCCAUCUUCCUUGCAGGUGCCUGUGUCUCUUUAGAUUUACUUGUUUAUUUAUUUGAGAGAGAGACACAGAGAGAGCACGACCAGGGGGAGGAGCAGAGGGGGAGGGAGAAAGAAUCUCAAGCAGACUCCAUGCUGAGCGCGGAGCCCCAGCUGGGCUCUAUGUCUCCACCCUGAGAUCAUGACCGCAGCCGAAUCCAAGAGUUGGACACUUAACCAUCCCGGGGCGUGAUGCCUGUGUCUCUUUAGAUUUCAGGCCAGUUGUUUGCCCUGUGAUCUCAGCUCUCUGAUAGGUACAAGAAAAGUUAAAAAGUCACAGAUUAUCUGGGUUUUUCUUGUGGCAAAGGUGGAAGUGAUACUCUUUCCAGCUUUCUACAUCCUAGGAGGAACCUGGAAGAAAACUGAACAGUUUUAAACGUGUCCAUACCUUCUCUGAAGGCAACAGGAAUAACUCUGCAUAGCUUCUGAGGCUG
This is a long non-coding RNA of Mirounga angustirostris (Northern elephant seal), 15636 nucleotides long. RefSeq lists it as uncharacterized. NCBI's taxonomy places the organism in Eukaryota, Metazoa, Chordata, Mammalia, Carnivora, Phocidae. The transcript is spliced from 5 exons. The record is from RefSeq and is a predicted model, not a curated record.